Molecule: long non-coding RNA, 287 nt
Filed under: Dasypus novemcinctus (nine-banded armadillo)
Lineage: Eukaryota; Metazoa; Chordata; Mammalia; Cingulata; Dasypodidae
Description: lncRNA (ENSDNOG00000052240.1)
Source: RNAcentral
GGGAGGCGCCUGUUUGUACGCAAGUGAGCGCGCGGCCCGGGCCUCUGCAGAGACCAGGACUGAGAAACCGCGGGCCCCAGGGGGAGAACUCAUCUGGAGUCUAUGACUUAAAGAGGCCCACUUCUGGAAGGGCAGAUAAAGGCUUUGAAGAGAAGAAAUAGACCUUUACAGUAAGCUUGCAAAUACCAUAUUUAUUUUAGAAAAUAAUCAUUUCUAACUUAAGUUCAGUCAUACUCUGAAAUUUCACAGGCUUUGGGCAAAAUAGAAUUCAAAUUUUAAUCCUACAC